This 363-nucleotide ribosomal RNA is filed under the name Salmonella enterica. RNAcentral's name for it is "partial 16S ribosomal RNA". It matches the Rfam family "Bacterial small subunit ribosomal RNA", at positions 81 to 447 of the family's 1533-position model. RNAcentral also lists the same sequence under 1 other name. The record is from RNAcentral. Lineage: Bacteria; Pseudomonadati; Pseudomonadota; Gammaproteobacteria; Enterobacterales; Enterobacteriaceae.
UGCUUCGCUGACGAGUGGCGGACGGGUGAGUAAUGUCUGGGAAACUGCCUGAUGGAGGGGGAUAACUACUGGAAACGGUGGCUAAUACCGCAUAACGUCGCAAGACCAAAGAGGGGGACCUUCGGGCCUCUUGCCAUCAGAUGUGCCCAGAUGGGAUUAGCUAGUUGGUGAGGUAACGGCUCACCAAGGCGACGAUCCCUAGCUGGUCUGAGAGGAUGACCAGCCACACUGGAACUGAGACACGGUCCAGACUCCUACGGGAGGCAGCAGUGGGGAAUAUUGCACAAUGGGCGCAAGCCUGAUGCAGCCAUGCCGCGUGUAUGAAGAAGGCCUUCGGGUUGUAAAGUACUUUCAGCGGGGAGG